GUCCAGUAAGAGUCUGUACAGGUGUGCGUGUCUACAGUUUUUACAGAAAUCCUGAAGUCUUUCCUGUUGUCUGUGUCUGAGCUCUGUGUGUCUGUGUGUUGCAGGGAGGGCCGAGUCUCAGCCCAGUGGGAUGGAAGAGAGCCAGAUUCGGCGUGGAGAUUACAUCAGGAAGGUGUUCAGUGUGCUGACAGUGCAGUUGCUGGCGAUCCUGAGUGUCCUGUGUCUGCUCCUGCUCUGUGAGCCCCUGAAGGAGUUCGUGAAGACCAACCUCUGGAUCUCCCUCAAUUCCUACCUCAUCUUCAUCCUGGUUUCCGCCGUGCUGCUCUUCUGCCUGUCCUGCAGGAGGGCCGUGCCCCGGGGCACUCCAGGCAUGGUGGGUAGCGAGAUCAGCCUUCCUUGUUGUGGUGAUUGGUGUCCCAUGGGUGCUCCCUGUCCGUACAGCCGUGCUGCUGGGACGGGGCCGGAGGCAUGCCGUUCCGUGUCGUGCAAGUCGCUGUCGUGUUCAGGGCAGCGGGGUGGUGAGUUGGCCCCCUGGAGUCCGCCGCCCGGUUUCACUUUCCAGGUUUCAGUUGCCACAUGUCUUGAGCGCGCAGGCCACUGGGUGGCGCUGCUCGGGCUGGCGCGCGGCGCCCGGGGAAGGUGGGUGCGUACCGGAUGUCGCCGCUCUGGGCUGUGGUGUCGUGGGGCGAAACGCUUCGCUCGGGGCGGCGGGGCGCUGGCUUGGCUGGGCAUUGGGGAAGCUCCCAAAAUCCCCUGCUGCCUCGCCGCUGUCGGCCAUCUUGAAGAAGAGGGGUUCUGCUGUGGCCAGGGCUGAGGGCGCUCCCCCGUGAGGUGUACCGUUGAGGUUCUCCGUGCGGCCGACGGUCCCACGGCCGUGAGGGGGCGUGUUCUGGAGCUUCCACCCUGGGUUGGGUCUGUCUGGUCACCCUGUAGCCCCCCCCCACUGCUGCAACCAUAUCUCAUCUGGCUGUCUCUACACCUCCCUCUAUCUCGAGGGACUAUCUCUCUCUGA
This 1012-nucleotide long non-coding RNA is filed under the name Lepisosteus oculatus (spotted gar). RNAcentral's name for it is "lncRNA (ENSLOCG00000023209.1)". The record is from RNAcentral. Lineage: Eukaryota; Metazoa; Chordata; Actinopteri; Semionotiformes; Lepisosteidae.